UGAGAUCAUCACGUGUCCUUGUGCAA
Molecule: non-coding RNA, 26 nt
Filed under: Homo sapiens (human)
Lineage: Eukaryota; Metazoa; Chordata; Mammalia; Primates; Hominidae
Source: RNAcentral